Molecule: non-coding RNA, 273 nt
Organism: Physcomitrium patens
Lineage: Eukaryota; Viridiplantae; Streptophyta; Bryopsida; Funariales; Funariaceae
Source: RefSeq, a predicted model, not a curated record
GCUACCAAUGUCAAUGAGGUCCUCUGUAGGGUACUCAAUGUACUCUAAUGUAUGAGUUCUUCUUCGAGGUUUGUUUCAAGCUUGACUGCAAAGAACGAUUAUAAAAGUGAUAAGCAAUGGUAGGAUUUGGAAAGAAGCUGCAGAAGGCACGAGUCCCAACAUGGGAAGUGUAUUAUAUCUCUUACAAGAUGAUGAAGGAGAAGGUCAACGUUUUUGGCCAGGAGUUGAAGAGCGGCUCCAAAGUAGAACGCAAGCGAAUCCUCAAGGAGUUUA